Chinchilla lanigera (long-tailed chinchilla) is the source of this 389-nucleotide long non-coding RNA. RefSeq lists it as uncharacterized. Lineage: Eukaryota; Metazoa; Chordata; Mammalia; Rodentia; Chinchillidae. The transcript is spliced from 3 exons. The record is from RefSeq and is a predicted model, not a curated record.
UUGUAAUCCAGACCCAGGCAAAUGUGUAGACUUGGCACUAACCAAUAGUGGCUAAAUAGCAUCACCUGAGGCAGUCUGACCAAUCAAGACUCAGGAAGAACCUCAAAGCCACAGAGUCAGACAUGGAUCUGGCAACAUUGCCUGUGUGGACUCCUGCACCGGAUGAAUUUUAAAAACUUUUUAUUCCUAAUGGCAACAAUACAGAAGCCACAGAUCUCAAAGAGAGAAAAACAGUUCUCUGCCCAGCAUUUAUUGGCCGUCCUGAGCCCCCUGUGUGCUCUCACCUUGGAAGACACUGUGCAGUGAUGAAGAAAGGCUGUGGACUCCAGUUCUCUGUGCUGCUGCCGUUAGAUCAUUCUUUUUUCUGCUCUUUGAAUUUUGCCUCUAAA